This is a long non-coding RNA of Sarcophilus harrisii (Tasmanian devil), 2663 nucleotides long. The record is from Ensembl. NCBI's taxonomy places the organism in Eukaryota, Metazoa, Chordata, Mammalia, Dasyuromorphia, Dasyuridae.
GGGCAUACCUAUGAACUUCAGAAUGUAGUGGAAGAGUUUCAAUUUAGUUUACCAGACAUCACAGGGCACUACCAGAACAAAACAUCACUUAAGUUUAUUUCAGAUGUAACAGCAAUGUCAUGUUAAAAUUGACAGGUUUAAUCCUUAACUGCACCAAGUAAACUCAGCCACUUAAGUAUUUUUAAAAAGUUAUUCCCUCCCCAAAAAUGAGGGAGCUUUUCUUUCCCACUGCCCUGCAGCACAGUUUCCUGGUAUUUGUGUGUAUGGACAACAUAUUCUUUAUUGUUUCAACUGGUGACUAAGUUGCUGGGAAAAUUUGACAGCAAUUUUCCUCACAAUCUCUAUCUGAAUGAAUGUUAUUUGCAUAGAUUUUUCUUUGCAUGCUCUUCCCCCUGGAAACUUUGAUUAAGAUCCUAUAUAAAUUUGUAACUGUUAAAGCACUAAUGGAUGUUUUUUGGUGAUUUUCCAAUUAAUGGGAUUCCUCCUUUCUUACUAAAUGCCAGAGGUAAUAUUUUAUUACGUACCCAAAUAAUAGUUCCAUACUGGACACUGCAUUUCAGCCUUCUGUUGAUCUCACUAAGAACCAUUCUUUACUUCCUUUUCUCUCAAAUUGGCCUCUCCCUCAGUGGACAAAUUUGAUAUCAAUACCAAUUUCACGACCAAUACUGCCUCUUUUACUUCCCCUCAAAAUUUUCUAUUAUGAAAGCUUUCAAAUUAAACUGGGGGGGGGGGGGGGGGGGAGGAAGAGGAAGCAGAGGGAAACUGUCCCUACAAGAGGUUACUUAUAUAUUAAACUUGGGUUUUUUCUUUCCCCUUUAUAUAUGUACUUGUGGUUCACAGUGAGACAACUCCUCUUUCAUAUAGUUUGUCAAUAACCACUUUUAGGGACACAUUCACAGAAGUAAUGAUGGUUCACUGUUUUAGAAAUGAGGAGUAAAAUUAUCUCAGAUUAGUCAUAUACAUAUUACAAUCUAUACUGAAUUCUGGAAGCUUACAAAAAACCUGAAGUUCUGUGAUCUGAAUGUUUUACAGCUCAAACAGUCAGUUUUCUUAAUAACCAUAAUCUGAAUUUUAUCUACAUAUGAAUAUUAGGGCCUCUUUUAUGCACAACUUAGGCUUUAAGUUGCUGUAGACUGUGGAUCAGGAACUCAUUUGUAGAUAUCCAGUGUGUGGUCAAUGACUAGAAUCAGUACUCUCAUUAAGGAUCUUCCUUUUUGGUAGCAUUUAAUUAUGGCACCCAAGAUGAUCCUAGGUGAAUAAAGUUAUGAUUUCAUACAGUAUCUCUUGAACAGAUGGCUAUGAAAUGUGUGACAAAGGACCUGUGGAAUCUGUCACCUCUUCAAAUGUGUAAAAACUUUACAUAAAAGGACAAAAAUAUAAUUCGACUGUAUCCUUAAAAACAAAGGACAAACAGUUCAAACCCUAUGUAUUAUAUCUCCAAGAGUCUAAAUAAUAACAUUUGCAUUAUUAAGCAUCAACAUUGGCAACUCAAAAUUAAAAUAUAUAGGGAGUAGGAUCAUGAGGGAAGCAUGAAAUCAUGUGCAAAUAUUCUAAUUUUCAUAGACCUAUUUCCCAUAGCUCUUGGUUAGCACAAAAAUAAUGUAUUAUAGUCAACCAGUCAAUAUCCUCUUUUUACAUGCCAUAAAAUGAUAUGGCAUAAAACCAGUUCAGUGGGCAGAAGCAGUCACAGUGACAUUUGCAUUAUUUAACACCUUCUAGGAGAACAAUUUUCAAGAGUAGAAACAUGUUUAACACCUCCAUUCCCUAAUGUCCUGUAACAAAAACAAGGCAGGCACAUGGUGUAAGCAAAUUUGGGAUGUUUCCUGGUAGGUUAUGGGUAAGCAUAGGAUUCCUGUGAUAUAAUUCUCAGAACAAUUAUUUGCACACAUUCUUUGCCCUGCACCUCAAAUCCCAGUGGCCACAGGUUUAGGAGUUUGCAUCAGCUGAAUUUUAAGGGGGGGGGAAAGCUGACAAAUGCACAGACCAUCAUGCAUAAGCCCAUCUAAACCUCACUUCAGAUAUUGUGAAUAAAUGAUGAGCAGUCCCUUAAUAACCCAAGUAUCUGCACAUCCAGAUUAAUUUAGGAUUGACUUAUAUAUAAGGGUGUUCGCUCAAUUCCAAGGCUGGGACUGACCACUGUCAAGGAUUCCAAAAGCAGACAAGGUGUUUGCAGAAAAUAGGAAAGCGAGUCACACCAAACCUUUUAGGUCAAUUAAGGAAAACAUACUUAGCUGGGAUGUAAGAACUUCAUUCACAUCUUACCAGCCCACAUACACCAAAAAUAAUGCCACUAGUAACAAUCAGCAGCAGGUAGGAUAAGCCUGCAAGACAACCAGUCCACUCAUCAGCAAAAGCAGAGAAGCUUAACUCAAAAAUACUGAGACCAAAGGACUUAACACUUUUCACCCCCUUUCAAAGAUUAGGGGGAAAUAUUUGCUUUAAAAAAAAAAAAUGGAUCAAGCUUAAUAUUUCUUACAGGGUUAACAAUGCUCCAAACUCCUGAGAAAUAUCUCAGAAGGGUUGAAAGGUGGAGUGCAAGGCAAUGUUUCAGGGGAUUAAGUAUCCCACAGAUUUUUUUUUUUUUAAAUCCCAAACACCACAAACACACAAAACUUGUCUGUGAAUUAGAGGACAAGAUAUUGCUAUUUUGGGAGGGGAGAAGG